UCUUUCAUGAUGAAGCAUUUUACGGAUGUUAACCCUACGGGGACUGUCCGAGAGCGCAAAACAAGUGUGGACACCUCCGUUGCCUUCCUUCUGAACUACAAC
Molecule: small nucleolar RNA, 102 nt
Filed under: Trichosporon asahii var. asahii CBS 8904
Lineage: Eukaryota; Fungi; Basidiomycota; Tremellomycetes; Trichosporonales; Trichosporonaceae
Description: Small nucleolar RNA Z13/snr52
Rfam family: Small nucleolar RNA Z13/snr52
About the family: Z13 or snr52 is a member of the C/D class of snoRNA which contain the C (UGAUGA) and D (CUGA) box motifs.
Source: Rfam by way of RNAcentral